UCAAGAAAAGAAAAAAAUAAUAUCAUUGGCGGAGAUCAAAAAGAAAUUUUGGGAGUACUUGACCCUCAUCCUGAUCCCUGCAAAGACUUCUGCACUCUACGAGCUCUGGCAGCCCCAAGCUGCAGUUUCGAAAUUAUGUAGAUACACGUUCAAAUCCUCCUUGGGAGGUGAAAGGUUUCUGUUUUCCAGGGUACCCCAAGAUGAUGCUGUGCACUUAUCCACAGAAGCAUCCACUUGGAGAAAGAUGGUGGCCAGGUAGGGACACAGGCUGGAUGAUGUUUUUUCUGCUUUGAACACAAGUAGACCAACAUUACCCCUGCCAAGUGGCUUUAAUGUGGUAUCAUCAAUCUAUACCAAAACGAAUUAGCAUUGUGGCACUGCAAGACAUAGUUUCAACAGGAUCAUUUGUGAAAGUCUAAAUCAGGAGACAAAAAGGCAUUAGAGCUGUCAAGCCACCACCAGUCCAUUUCUUCCUCAAAAAGAGCCAGGGUUAUGGCUUGAGUAAUGGAUUAUUUUAUAUAUUACAGAAAGUCUUGGAAAAAUGAGUGACCAGGAACACCAAGAAUAUCAUCAUCUUGGAGGGCUUCCUUGAGAGAAGACCCAUAUGGGGAGGAAGCAGGGAGCAGAUGGACAGACGGACAUCCCUUCCUUAAUUAAUGGGGUGAAAAACAGAAGGAAAGGCUGGUGCAAUGCUCGGGAGGGAUUAUCCACCCGGCCGAGGCCAGAUGCAGUCGUGGGUACAAGGCUAAAGCUGGAGCUUUUAGCUCUGAAUGAAUCUUGGGUUGGGAUCCUUGCAACCACAAGUUCAAAGGUCACUCUUUUGUUUGGCGUGCGCUGUGUUAAUUUGUCAAGUUUUAUCUCUCCCUGCUACCCAAGCAGCUGCAGCGUGUGUAAAAUGCUCCUGGGUCCGCCAGCCUUCAGCUGGAAAAGCAACAAAAGCGGGGGCCUGCAGCCUUUUUCAUGUAAAUGCUUGUGAGCGGCAUAAUUGUCUCACGAACCCAACCGAAGGCACUUAAAUGGCUUUAAAGGGUCGCAGCUAGGUGCUUUUGACAGCCACUGUGACAGCUCCAGUCCUACCGAGCUUGUCCUGGCAUCCGUGUGCUCGUCACAAGGGUUUUACUAUCAAACUGAGCCUUUUUAAUUGCUUAACAUCAGCUAAUAGACACUUAAGAUGAAGUAAUUUCCUUUUUAUUUUCCUACCCGAGCUCUGCUGAUCAAUGUCAGAUGAGAUCACCUGCAUUUUAUUUGGGGGUCAAAGGAAAAAUUGGCAACGUCCACCCCAGGCUUUUUUUUUUUUUCCCCUUCCCCUUUGAACAGGGUGGGAUUUCUGCAGAACAAUUAACAUUCAUUUGCUAAGUGUUUUUGCAAGCAUGUUUACAAGAAAUGCAAAUACCCCAGGACUAUUCUGUUUUUGUUUUCUAGGGUUCACCUAAAAUGAGGCCCUGAUGCCGUGCAGACUUUAUGUAUGCCUUUAGCUCUCGGCUCAUGGCAAAACUAUGUGGAUGGCUGCGUGCAUGAAGCUGCACAUUUCUGCAAGCCUCGGCGCUGAGAUGCAGGGAUCUUCAGCUUUCUGAAAAAGCUCUUGCAUCACAGCUUAAAAAUAGAGGCUGUUUAGACGUCUUGGGGUGUCAUGGAAGGGAAUGGGAAUUUUGGUGUAGUGCUGCCGUCCCAGCGGAUAAAGUGAGUCUCUGAUGUCAGUCUCCCACUAAGAUAACCCAAGGGCACUGACGCCUCCAGGACUGUAUUGUUUCACAGCAAACCGUCUGCUCAUGGAGCAAACACGAUAGUGGGGUGUUGAUUUAUGAAGUGGUGGCUGAGUUCCCAACCAGAAGCAGCAGAGAUGUUUUGCAUUUGAAACACGAUGGUCUGCCUGGGCUCCACAGGGUUCAGCCUUUAUGUUUCAGGAUCGGCCCUUCCCGCAUGGAUCUGGAGUUCUCAAACCCGGUGAGAGUCACCAGGAGAUGUGGGGACAUCAGAUGAGUUCCUCUCACCUCUCUCCAAAUGCCUGUUUUUUGUUUAGCUUGUAGGCACAGAGCGCCAGCGAGACAGCUCUCCUCCCUCUGUUGGCUUUGCGUGAAGUUGGUCAACACAUCCAGGAGGGCUUAUGGGAGGAGAGGCAAAUGAACAUAAGCUUUCCCUCAGAAAUUAAGCUAAAAAUGCAUUUAGUACUUUCAAAACCAAUUAAUGGGCUUCAAAGAGUAAAACCGGUGGAUGCCUUGGGUUGUGGAAAAUAUUGGGAUAUGAUGGUGAGAAGGGAUAAAUUUAGCAGGAUGUGACAAGCCAACCUGAAGACCCCAUCCCACAUCACAAAAAUAGCCCCAUGAGGGCAUUCACUUGGAAAGUCUUUGCUUAAUUGCAGCCUGUGGGUGCAGUUCUCAUGCCUUUUGAAGAUGUCUUGAGACUAGCCAGUGGAAAACUGCUCUAAAACUUGUUUUUUUAAGAUAUCGGGCCAAGCCAAACGAAAUAUGCCAGGGAGUCAUGGAAAUGAUUGGAGCCUAUCAAGAUACAGGGACAAGGAAACUCAUGUCUUUUUCUCUCAAGUGGGGAGAAUUAACUGCAUGUGAACAGGGAUGUUGAGAGUCCUGGAAAUAGUCACGGGGAUGGCAGCACCAAACACAGGCACAGUUUAAGCCUUGCCCUUUUUCACUUCAUUCCUUGGAGCAAAGAAACUUCUGCUUGCAAGAUGAUGCCCCCGCAAUCACCCAAAUCCCCAUCCAGGGCUGAAGAUGCUGCAUCCACCACAGGCACGGCAGCAGGUCGGGCUCCAGCAGAGGUGCAUUAAUAAAAUCACCCUUGUUCAAGGUUACGGUGCAAGUUGAUUGCUUCUGAUUAGGGAUUUGUAUUCAGUUGUGACAUCCUGCAAUUUUUAUUGCCUUUACGGUAAUAAUUGUGAAUAAUAAAAUGACAAAUUAUUGUAAUUAAAUUUUAAUUAAUUACAAAUCCAUUACUUUUAAGUUUAUUCAUGGUAGAGACAAUGAUACUGAAAACAAUUCAUUAAAGCACUUGAUAUGUAAAUUGUGAAGUAAAGCAUUAAUAUCAGGCAGCUCGUGUAUUCACUUUCUGCUAUGCAGCAGAGAAUUUGCACAAGGAAAGGCACUUCUCCUGGAUCAUUUUAGCAGUUUGCUUGAAGGAGAAGAAAAACACCAAGUACUCUCGAGCUGAAAUUAUUCCCAAAGUCAGGUUCUGCAUCCUCUAAAACAAAACACUGAGCAAGCAAAAAGGGAGAGUGCUGCCUGCUGCUGUGCAGGGCUGAUAAUUUUAACAGCCUUGUGGGGACGUGGCAGUCUUGCCGUGGGAUGAGACUUUAUGAAAACAUUGCUGCUGGCCAGGUUUCCUGGUCACAGCAUUGGCAGGGCAGCUGUUUGGGCUUCUUCUCUGAGAAGUGCUCAAAAAAUGACCUGGAUUCAACAGGAGCAAAUGGCGCAAGGAUCACCAAGCAAGGUUUUUGGAGGGAUGUGUCUCUGCCCAGCAUCCUUCCCCUGCAAUACUCUUCUGCAGGGGCAAGUCUCCUCGCCACACCUAUUUUUUUCCAGCUUUGGCCAUCUAAUGAAGGAAGAAGCUCUUCUGUCAAGGGGGAAGACAGGAAUAAAGGGGAGACGUGAUCAGACAGCAAGGCACCUCCCGCUCGGACAAGGAGAGCCUAAAGCAGGGAGGCACACCCAAGGUUAAUAACACGCUGCUCCACCAGCUUCUAUCUAAUCUUGGAAAAUGUCCUGUGCUGCAAAGAAAAAUGGGAAAGUGAUUAUGUGACAUGAAAUAAGGUCUUGCUGUACUGUCUAGACAGCUUUAAAAAACAUCAAGCUAGGGUGUUCCUAUUUAUGAAAAAUGCAGCUGUACUUCUGCCUUCCUUGAGCGAGAGAAGAAAGCAGUGCACUUGAGGUCAUUUGGCUGUGACAAGCUCUCUGUGCCUGUCCGUGGGGAUUUAUUCCUCUCUCUUUAUUCUCUCUUUCUUUCUUCGUUUUGCCCCCAGUGCUGCACAGCUUGUGCUUCCAACCCUGUGCCCUGGUGGAGCUGGGUGCUGAGCCAGGCUAUUGCACCCGCAGGAAGGCUGCUGGGUGCCAACCUGCAUGCUUUUUCUGCAGCACUGCCCUCAGGAUCACUUCCCUGAGCAAAACUGCAAGCAGCCUUCAGACCCUUAAUCGAGUCUCUUAUAGCCUCUCUUAAAUUAGAAGCAUUUCAUCUGCCCUGGAUGCAACCUCAGCAAUUCCCUCCCCAUGAUUUUUAGCCAUGGUAAAUUAUUAAUAGGGAUUGCAUAUUUUUAUCUGACAGUGUCUAUGUGGGUGGAAUCUGAACCCCAAAUGACCACAUGUCACCCCAUGCCAAUCGGAGCUGGCACCAGCUUGCUGCCAAUGCUUAGCGCUGGGUGCCCCGAGAAACCUAUUGAUCAUGGCUCUGUGUCCUACAAAAGGGAGAAAUGGGUCAGCAGAUAUGUUGUUAAUCCCAGCUUGAUCUAACGUCUUCGGGACAGGUGGCAACCUUCAUUUAAUGGAACAAUGAGAUCAUUAGGAAUUCAUAAUGAACCGUGCUGUGGCCAUGAAAGUAGGUCACACUUACCCCAGGAAGACUUCAAAAUGAGCCUGUCCCCAUUCAUGUGCUGCAGCAGAGAUGGCUGGGGGCAGACUGACAGCUCUGCCUUGGGAUUUGCUAACCAGACAAUUUUAGGAACAAAAAGGGGCAAACGCUGUGGACAUGGAAUGAGUUCUAUUAUGCCAAACGGUAUCAUGACUUUCAGCUGUGGGCUGAUUCAGUUUCAGGUGUCAUGUCUUGCUGGCCAUGGGCUGUAGCCACCCUGGGUGGGCCAGGAGGAUGGGAAGUUUUGGGAAGAAGCAAGCAUUUGCCAAGCCAAGUCCCUGGUCAGUGUCUGUAACCACCCUGGAGAGAUCCUCCCUUCACUCAUCCCCGAGGGAUGCUUUGUCCACCCCCAGGGAAGAGGAGCUCCCAGCCCCUGGCCGUGAACAAGGCCAGAAGACUGCCCGCUGCAAUGCCAGCCCCUGACCCCAGCCCCAAAGACUUUAACAAAACGUCACGGCAUAACGCAAACAUCGCACCAUGCCCGGC
Long non-coding RNA from Oxyura jamaicensis (ruddy duck), 5058 nucleotides. RefSeq lists it as uncharacterized. The record is from RefSeq and is a predicted model, not a curated record. NCBI's taxonomy places the organism in Eukaryota, Metazoa, Chordata, Aves, Anseriformes, Anatidae. The transcript has 3 exons.